Molecule: vault RNA, 99 nt
Filed under: Panthera pardus (leopard)
Lineage: Eukaryota; Metazoa; Chordata; Mammalia; Carnivora; Felidae
Description: Vault RNA (ENSPPRG00000021905.1)
Rfam family: Vault RNA
About the family: This family of RNAs are found as part of the enigmatic vault ribonucleoprotein complex.
Source: RNAcentral
GGGUCGGCUUUAGCUCAAGCGGUUACUUCGCGUGUGGUUACCAAACCUUACAACCCUCUCGUUGGGGUUCGAGACCCGCGGGUGCUUUCUGACCCUUUU